CUCCAUCUCUCUAGAACCUUCUGGUUCUUCUCUGAUCAUCUUCAUUGCUCUCCGGCCAUCUCCAUCCUCAGUUCUCUCGACCACCAGUCUCCACGGAGCCUUGUCUCGUUGAUCUUAUCUAAGUUUUAAGGCUCCUGAGAUUUCCACCAUGCGAUAUGGUAGAAGCUUGCUUGGCUUAUCUCCGGCCUCCUCUCCGAUGGUUUUUAGUCCAAUGGUACUUUGUACGCCAUUACUAACGAGUUUUACAGUCAGGUUUCUUACCUCACUGAGUUAUUGAAAAACCCUAAUUUUUUGCCUAAAUCUCUUAAUCUUUGUCAUUUUUAAAAUGAUUUUCAGCUUAUUCAUUGUGUUUUACACUGCUCACUAUUCGAUUUCAUCGAUUAAUUCAAGUUUUUCAACAUUCUAUUCUUCUUUUCUAAACUAGGGUUCCUGCGCCCCCUUUCAAAAUCACUAUCUCUUCUGCUUGUUUUUGAGUAUUAUGUGAUUGUGCAUGUAUUAUAUGUUUAUGUUUGUGUUAUGAGCUUGUUUGUUUUCUUGUUAAUCCGAGUUCCAUGCUUUAUGUUUUACUAGGGUUCCAGUCUUCUACUGAACCUGUGAUUUUCCUGCUUAGGGCUCUCUGAUUCUUACGCCUAUUGUGUUUUAUAGGUCUAACUGUUAUUCUACUGAUUUUUGUGCAUCUCUUCAAAUCCCUGAUUUGUAUGUGUUUUGCUUAGAAGUUCUUACACUGAUUUUUGAAUUAUUUUCUUACUUGUGAAAUGCUCUCUAUUCUUAACACUAAUUCCCUCUGAUUUUAGUCUCAUCCGUGAUUCUUUGACUAAUUUUCAGAGUUAAUUUAUAUUUUUACCAUAUUUGUGCUCUUUAAUAUAUAUUUCAAAUAUUCUUUAUAUGCUUUCCAUACAUGAAGCAUUAUGUAUCUAGCCCUUAUUACAUACUACAUGCCUUACUACUCUUACUAUGGUAUAAUGAGUCGUCUAAUUGAUUUUUUCCUUUAUCUGAUAUAACAUGUACUCCCAUUCAUAUCAUGAAUCCCUAUUUAAAAUGAAUUAGGUCUUGUGAUUGAUUCCAAUUUGUAUUAUUUGCAUAAUUAUGUACUUGUUACCCUAUUCUCUAUUGGUUUUCAAAAUUAUAAAUACUCUACCCUCUCUUUAGCAUAACACACAAACAUAAUUCAUUAUUCUGAACUCUCUCUUAUACAAAAACAUACUCAGUGUUCUCUCUUGCUUCUACAUAACCUCUCCCACUUCCCUUGUGACUACUGGUUACUCAAUUGGUUUGAAACCCAGGUUGAGCUUUAGGCCACUUUACUAUUCUAUUGCUCUCUACAUUGCUACUUUCUUGGUUCUACCUACUUGCUGCUCACUUCUCUGCUAUUGCUGCUCACUUCUCUGCUAUUGCUGUUCACUUCACUAAUAUUGCUGCUCACUUCUCUGCAUACUAUUCCUCACUCCUCUGCAUAUUGUUGUUCACUAUUACUAUAUGUUACUGCAUCCUCAACUAAUAUGCCCUCCAUGUGUUUUACAACUCUUAAAACAACAUGCGUUUAUACCUGCUGCACUUCAUUCUAGUUCUUAUAUGCUUUUACUUAGGGUUCUCUUGUUCUUACAGCAAUUAGCAUGCCUCUAUGUUAAUUGAUAUGCCUAUAUUAAUCUAGCAUGCCCAUUACUCUCCUUAUUUGUCUCACGCGUGUUUCUCCUUAUCCCUUAUCCCCAGGACAAUUAUCAGCAUGUAGUCCUGAUCUCUCUGGUUGAAACAUGCUUGAUUGUUUAAGUUCUGAAGUGCUUCUCUUUGAUGUCUGUGUAUAUGUAAUUGUGUUCUCCCUUAGGAGUUACUUGUCCCCAUUCCCCUUUCCCCUGUUUGUGUUUGUAUUCGAUGAAGCCUAUGGGAUCCUCUAACCUGAUAUUGUCUCUUCUGCUGUUUUCUUUCAAAAUUGAUUAUAUAUGGACAUCUUUAACUGUUUUCUCUUUUUAAAUUCAAUUGCUUUAGAAGAACCCUAUCACCCCUUCUGUUGUUUUCUUUCAAGAGUGGUUCUCCAUGGACCUUCUUUUAACUAUUUUUCAACUCAAUCUCUUUAAAACUCUAUCACAAUCUCAAUAGUCCUAGAAUUUAAGUUCUACCCCCUUUGUGUAAGCAUUGCUUUGGAUACCUUGAGUACCCACUGAACUUUUAUGCAGAAUGCAGGUAAUUUCACGCUUGCACUUGUUCAAUAUAACUUGUUUGGGUGCCUGGGAUUGGCCAAGGGCCUCAACGGUUAGGAAGCUUUGCCGCACCCCAAACCUUGGCAAAAGGCUGUAAAACUCGAAAGACGUGAGGUUGAGAUUUGGGCCUAGUUGAAGACUCCAUAUAGAAUAACUUCUUAUUUUUCACAUCUUCAUUACUGUAAUUUAAUUGCCUUUGUCUGUAAUAACUUGUAAUGAACGAUUGGCGUUUAUAGUAAAAUCGGGGAGGGUUAUGCAUGCUAGUUUAAGGGUUACGGGUAGAAAACAUACUUG
This 2489-nucleotide long non-coding RNA is filed under the name Nicotiana benthamiana. RNAcentral's name for it is "long non-coding RNA (NBEN_LNC026708)". The record is from RNAcentral. Lineage: Eukaryota; Viridiplantae; Streptophyta; Magnoliopsida; Solanales; Solanaceae.